AAAGGGAGACCUAAUUCCAGUAGGAGACGAAAAAAAAGUAGUCCCUACCAAGAAUCAAUCCCAAAAGGUCGGAGCGAGGCAAAAUUGGCUUUCAAACUAGGUUCUGGGUUCACACAAGACCUGAAUCAGGAACAAGGGCUAUUAGCUCAGGUGGUUAGAGCGCACCCCUGAUAAGGGUGAGGUCCCUGGUUCGAGUCCAGGAUGGCCCACCUGCACAGGUGGAAGAAAGAAAAAAAGCUCCGAAUCAGCACCUUAUCUUACUUAUAUAGUAAGAGAGAAUGCUGGCUCUGAGUACAGAGUCCAGAGGAACCUUGAAAACUGCAUAGAGCUAGGUGAAAAAGCCAAAAAAGAAGACCGCAAG
Molecule: transfer RNA, 361 nt
Filed under: uncultured Microcystis sp.
Lineage: Bacteria; Bacillati; Cyanobacteriota; Cyanophyceae; Chroococcales; Microcystaceae
Description: partial 16S-23S ribosomal RNA intergenic spacer
Rfam family: tRNA (bases 136-209)
Source: RNAcentral